Molecule: ribosomal RNA, 329 nt
Filed under: uncultured eukaryote
Lineage: Eukaryota
Description: partial 18S ribosomal RNA
Rfam family: Eukaryotic small subunit ribosomal RNA
Source: RNAcentral
CCCUUAGAUGUCCUGGGCUGCACGCGCGCUACACUGACGAACUCAACGAGCUUAUCACCUUGGCAGAGAUGUCUGGGUAAUCUUUUGAAAGUUCGUCGUGCUGGGGAUAAAUGAUUGUAAUUAUUCGUCUUGAACGAGGAAUUCCUAGUAAGUGUGAGUCAUCAGCUCGCGCUGAUUACGUCCCUGCCCUUUGUACACACCGCCCGUCGCUCCUACCGAUUGAAUGGUCCGGUGAGGUUCUCGGAUUUUUUCUGUUGUUUGGUUCGCUAAACGAUUGAAGAGAGAAGUUACCCAAACCUUACCAUUUAGAGGAAGGAGAAGUCGUAACA